RNAcentral lists this long non-coding RNA (1080 nucleotides) under Homo sapiens (human). RNAcentral describes it as "HSALNT0298311". Lineage: Eukaryota; Metazoa; Chordata; Mammalia; Primates; Hominidae. The record is from RNAcentral.
AGCUAUUGUUAGUGUUAGUGUAUUUUUUGUGUGGCCCAAGACAAUCUUCUUCCAGUGUGGCCCAGGGAAGCCAAAAAAUUGGACACACUUGAUGUAAACAUUUCAAGAAAAUUCAGACUAUAUGAUCACUCAAGACAGCCGAUUCACCAGCCUUCUGAAGGGAAGACUAAGCAUAUUCCUAUAUUGAAGAAGGAAAGAUAUCCAUGAUGGUGAUGCCACUAAAUAGAAGCAUCUUGGAUCUUACUAUUUGGAGUAGAACCACACAAGGAGAAGCCAUCCAACCUACAUAAGACUAUGACUGGCUUCUGACAAAAUCUAAACUGCACACUGUGGACUCGAGUCGAUAAACAACAGAGAGACUAAGACUGCAUGAAGUUAGGAGAUGGACCAUCAUGAAGGAAUAUCCUCUGUGUGUCGGGGGAUGUGGGGAGUUAGCCAUAUCUUUGGUUCAUGUUAGGUUUAAUGGUUAACAAAUUAAAAUGCUAAAGAAUGUUAUGAGUGAACCUCUUUUCCCUUUUGUUUUCUGAUUUUCUGCAAAACUUCUGUUCACAUAGCAAUCCUGGUUUUGUGCCCCAUCUUCUCCUUGCCCCAUGAAAGAGAAUGGAGUUAUCUGAUUGGCAGAUGCCAUCCGUGGUCCGUAUUUCUCAACUGAGUAGAAACUGACUCACUAAAAGGCAGCAAGCCCCAGAUCAAUAAGAGGCAGAAAUCUUAUUCUCUAGUGAUACUGCAGGAUCCUCUAAUGAGAUCCUGUAGGCAAGCUGGCCCAAGGUCUAGACUUAGACUUCAUUAACAUAUCUAAAGUCAUGUUAUCCAAUCGGCUUUAUUAGUACUAAAGCUGACAUUUCUAUCUUUAUCUAGGUCUGAUUUCUCAAAUGUAUCUGAACAUGAGAGGAGAGGAAAAAAGAUAUUAUUUACUGAUUCCUUCUUAUGCAUCCUGCAUUCUCACCCUAACCUGGAGUGGCCGACACCAGAACUCUCUCCCUUUAUGACAAGCAAAUGCCCCGUUUACAAGUAGACAACCUUAAUUUACAUUGUUUUUCUCUUGGAGACAGGGUCUCACCCUGUUGCCCAGGCUCAAGU